This 380-nucleotide unclassified non-coding RNA is filed under the name uncultured Parachlamydiaceae bacterium. RNAcentral describes it as "contains 16S-23S intergenic spacer region". Lineage: Bacteria; Pseudomonadati; Chlamydiota; Chlamydiia; Parachlamydiales; Parachlamydiaceae. The record is from RNAcentral.
UCCUAGUUAACCUAGGCAGUCUCGCUAGAGUGCCCACCAUUACGUGUUGGCAACUAACGACAAGGGUUGCGCUCGUUGCGGGACUUAACCCAACACCUCACGGCACGAGCUGACGACAGCCAUGCAGCACCUGUGCAGCUGUCUCUUGCGAGAAGACCCCAUUUCUGAAGCGGUCAACUGCAUGUCAAGUCCAGGUAAGGUUCUUCGCGUUGCAUCGAAUUAAACCACAUGCUCCACUGCUUGUGCGGGUCCCCGUCAAUUCUUUUGAGUUUUACCCUUGCGAGCGUACUCCCCAGGCGGUAUACUUAUCGCGUUUGCUUCGGUACAGUCAGGGUUGAGCCUCACUACACCAAGUAUACAUCGUUUAAGGCAAGGACUAC